Molecule: transfer RNA, 60 nt
Filed under: Xiphophorus maculatus (southern platyfish)
Lineage: Eukaryota; Metazoa; Chordata; Actinopteri; Cyprinodontiformes; Poeciliidae
Rfam family: tRNA
About the family: Transfer RNA (tRNA) molecules are approximately 80 nucleotides in length. Their secondary structure includes four short double-helical elements and three loops (D, anti-codon, and T loops). Further hydrogen bonds mediate the characteristic L-shaped molecular structure. tRNAs have two regions of fundamental functional importance: the anti-codon, which is responsible for specific mRNA codon recognition, and the 3' end, to which the tRNAs corresponding amino acid is attached (by aminoacyl-tRNA synthetases). tRNAs cope with the degeneracy of the genetic code in two manners: having more than one tRNA (with a specific anti-codon) for a particular amino acid; and 'wobble' base-pairing, i.e. permitting non-standard base-pairing at the 3rd anti-codon position.
Source: Rfam by way of RNAcentral
GUGGCGCAGUUGGUAGCGCUGUUGCCUUGUAGCAAGAAGGUCCUGGGUUCGAUUCCCAGC